Molecule: RNA transcript, 2891 nt
Organism: Aquila chrysaetos chrysaetos
Lineage: Eukaryota; Metazoa; Chordata; Aves; Accipitriformes; Accipitridae
Gene: PGM3
Gene name: phosphoglucomutase 3
Exons: 13
Source: RefSeq, a predicted model, not a curated record
CUUGAGGAGGGAGGGCAGGCUGCUUUGCAACUCAGAAGUUAAUAUAUGGGGCCGUGGCCGAGUGCACCGGGCGGCUCAUGGCCAACUUUGUUGGGAUCCCUGGAUCCAGCCGGUUGAGAAUCGUGGCUUUCCUCACCUGAAUCGCGUCAUCCCUUCGUGAUCCGGUGAAAUCUGGUCGAGCUCUGUUUUGCUAGUGCUCUACUGGGAAUGUAGAGGCUCCUUCAUGGACCGCUCUGGUUGCGGUCCCCCUUGCAGUCCCACCGAGGGAUUUGAUAUCUGUGAAAUGGAUUCUGAAGCCCUUAAAAAAUACUCCGCGUUACAUCCUAAACCUCCUGGACUUACUCUUCAGUAUGGCACCGCUGGAUUUCGCACCAAGGCCGAACAGCUCGAUCACGUCAUGUUCCGCAUGGGCUUGCUGGCAGUUCUCAGGUCCAAAGCCGUGGUAUCUACUAUUGGCGUCAUGGUUACAGCAUCUCACAAUCCUGAAGAAGACAAUGGUGUAAAGCUGGUUGAUCCUCUUGGAGAAAUGCUGCACCCUUCCUGGGAAGAGUAUGCCACACAAUUAGCAAAUGCAGAGGAGGAAGAAUUACAGAAAAUAAUAAUUGAUAUCUGCCAAAAAGCAGCAGUGAACCAGCACAAAGAUGCUUUAGUUUUUAUUGGUAGAGACACCAGGCCAAGCAGUGAGAAACUUUCACAGUCAGUAAUAGAUGGUAUCUCCGUUCUAGGUGGUCAGUACCAUGAUUAUGGUCUGGUGACAACACCACAGCUACAUUACAUGGUCUGCUGUCAAAACACCCAAGGGCAGUAUGGGAAGGCAAUGCUGGAAGGUUAUUACGAAAAACUAUCCAAAGCUUUUACAGAACUGAUAAAACAGUCUCCCAGCGCUGGGGAGAGUCAGAGGCACCUGAAGAUUGACUGUGCCAAUGGAAUAGGAGCCCUGAAACUAUCAGAAAUGGAGCCCUACUUUCCAAAGGAGGUGAUAAUUCACCUAUUUAAUGAUGGAACCAAGGAGAAACUCAAUCACUUAUGUGGUGCAGAUUUUGUGAAAGUUCACCAGAAACCACCUAGAGGGCUAGACAUGAAGCCCAACGAGAGAUGCUGCUCAUUUGAUGGUGAUGCAGAUAGAAUUGUUUAUUACUAUAAGGACGCAACUGGCCAUUUUCAUCUAAUCGAUGGAGAUAAAAUAGCAACUUUAAUUAGUAUCUUCCUUAAAGAACUUCUUGCCAAGGUGGGAGAGACCUUGCAUAUGGCAGUGGUACAAACAGCAUAUGCCAAUGGGAGUUCGACACGCUACCUUGAGGAAACACUAAAGGUACCUGUGCACUGUGUCAAAACAGGAGUGAAACACUUGCAUCACAAGGCCCAGGAGUUUGAUGUUGGUGUUUAUUUUGAGGCAAAUGGACAUGGUACAGUAUUAUUUAGUAAAGCUGCUGAAACUAAAAUAAGACAACUGGCAAAAGAGGGGAAAGAUGAUGAAAAAAGAGAAGCAGCAAAGGUGCUUGAAAACAUGAUUGACCUGAUUAAUCAGACAGUUGGUGACGCCAUCUCAGACAUGUUGGUUAUUGAAGCAAUCCUGGCUUUGAAAGGUCUGACUGUGCAACAGUGGGACGCCAUCUACGCUGACCUUCCGAAUCGGCUGCUCAAAGUUCAGCUCCAGCACACAAAUAAAUGGGCUGUUUCUGAUGCUGCAGGUUGCAGACAGGCGAGUUAUUGUCACAACAGAUGCAGAAAGGUGUGUGGUUACACCUCCAGGACUACAGGAGAAAAUUGAUGCACUUGUAAAGAAGUACAAAUUGUCACGAGCAUUUGUCCGUCCAUCAGGAACAGAAGAUGUAGUUAGAAUAUACGCUGAAGCAGACACGCAGGAGAACACGGAUGCCCUUGCCCAUGAAGUAAGCCUGGCUGUUUACCACCUUGCUGGUGGAAAAGGAGCACCGCCCCAGCCUAUAUAACAAACUACACAACUGCAGUUAAAGUUCAUAACUUGCCUUAUUUUUUAAUAUUACUUCCUUUACCAUUUGCUAGUGUGGACAUACCUGACCCUUCCUGAGUAGCAAGGAUCAGUCAGAACUGAGCAGCACAUUAUUCUGCUUAUUCUUUACCUCUGUUAGCAACUUACCUCUUAAUGAGAUGCUCUUGCUGCUGAAUGUUCCCCCCUUCCCUGUGUUUGUCCAGCUUCAGAAGCUGAAGUGACUUAGAGGUGACUUGCUUCUCCAGUCAGUGGCCUGGUCAUGCCCAGAAGGAAUUCUGCCCCCCACCCAGCUUAUUCCACAGGUUAUUGUCACCUUGUACCUGAAGUCCAACUGCCCCACGCCCAGCACGCUUACGGUCACUGCCUUUGACUCGAGCUCUGUUGUGACUGUGCUCCGCAGCAGCUGCAGAAACAUCAUCCCCACCUUCCCACAGUAACGCAACCAUCUGUGGGCAGCGUAAGGCAGAGGCUGGCACUGGGCUGGCGAGUCAGUUCACCUCACUUCAAGGGGGAAACAAUAUAAUGAAAAAGAACAUUUGCAAAUAACAUAUUAUUGCAAUACUAUCUUCAUUAGAUACUUUUAUCAAGUUAAAAAUAUUGCUUAGAAAGCAAUUUGCAGUAAUAGUAUUUAUAAUCACUUUUAAGAGGGAAGGGACAGAGACAAGAUUGUCUUCUGUGGCCCUGACUGUUUCCCAGCAGCGCGAAGGGGCCGGACCAACGGGAUGUCGUGUUUUAAAUGCACAGGUAUCCUGCUCCACAUAUUUCUGUUCAGGGUACCUACCUCUGACAAACCUAUUUUUCAUUUUAGACCUGUAUUAACUCCUGGCCUAAUGGCAUUUUCCAGAUUGCUAAAUAAGCACAAGUUCCAAUGGAUUAAAAAAAAAAGACGACAAAAAUAAACUGGAAACAAAUUGAAAAA